Topomyia yanbarensis is the source of this 1023-nucleotide long non-coding RNA. RefSeq lists it as uncharacterized. Lineage: Eukaryota; Metazoa; Arthropoda; Insecta; Diptera; Culicidae. The transcript has 4 exons. The record is from RefSeq and is a predicted model, not a curated record.
AACUGCUAUCGAGAGGACUCAAGGAAGCGGCGGGAAGAAAGCGAGAACGAAGAAACCCUCGGUAAACGGGGUGGCUUUAACAAAUAUAAAGUGAAUGACGCCGAAAAACUACAGUGGAAGCAACAAAUGCAACUACCUGACAAACAAACAACAAAUAAUACACGAUGCCAACUCGGAAUUACAGCUACGAGUACCCAGCAGAGUAUUAGCGGAAGUAACAACACAAACUACAAGAAUGAAAGGAGCACCCAAUGCAGGUCAGGCAGUACAACCAAGCGGUACGAGCAAAAUUCGAUACAACUAUACCAAAUCAUAUUGAGAGAUAAGGUUCCUCUGCGAAUGGUAGUUCCAAACUAGUAUCGUCAACCGUUUCUUCCUGUUGGGUUUCCGGUCCCAUCGGCUCGACCGCAGUGGCUGGACGAGAUGUAUUCACCACUGAUGUUGCGACGAGCGGUAUUACAAAGGCGGGGUGCCGCCGGUACGCAACAUAAGCGGGCAUAAAAUCGACACCGUUCGGCUUACACCGUUUUUUGGUUUUACAGUAAUGUGUUCGACAGGAUACCCGGGUAUCUUUUCAUAUUUCAAUCCAUGAAAUUCCAGUGUUCUUCUCCAAGCUGGAGAUUGGUAUUUAGUGACACCGGAAAACAUCCCCAAGCUUAGCGUUUUAGGGAAUAGAAUUUGAUGAUGUGGAAAACGGGGCUCUGAGCAGGGCUUCUAGAUUUUUUUAUCCCGUAACAGGCCGACAACGGCACCCGGCUGUUUUGGAUUCAGGAACCCAUCUUCUUUUUGACUCUGUGAAAAUGAACCGGAUGAAUUCAUCUGGUUGUCGGGAUUUCGGAUGUUUCGGAGGAAUGAUCCGGUAUUGGAAUACCAUUUGUAAAUUUCAAUGGAAUACUGGCAAUAUGGGUAUCAACAUUCAUGAUUUGACCCCGAAACGGACAUUCCUGAACAGGUUUUCGUGGGGCCGUGGGUUGCCGUUUGGAUGUCAAAGUAUCAUAUGGUCCCGUAACGAUGAAUAACAGA